AAAAGUCCUUCUAAUAGCAAAGUGGAAAGGUAGGCUGUGAACAAUCUUGAAUGCCAUACUAAGAUUUGUACCUAUUCUCAUAGGCAGUGAAGAGCCAUCAAUAGUUUUUACAGAGGCUGACCUGAUAACUCCGGCGGUUCAAUGUGCAUGCUAUAUACUAUAUGCACAACACAUUUGGAAGGAAGGGAACAGCGCUCAGAGAAAUCAAAUCGCUUGCCCAUAUUACAUAGCUCGUCAGUGGUGGAGUCGGGGUAUAAUCAGAAACUCAUGCUCCUUCCUCUACCUCUCCCCAGCACAGAGUUGGAUCAGCACUGUUCACCCAGCUGGUAUCCCCAUUUCAUGGUAAAGCCUGGAAGCCUAGGUCUGACUGAUGCUUGUUGAAAUACAGACUGUGGGAGCAGACUGCAGGACAGCCUUGUGACAGAGCGGGGGGCCAGGAGAGAGAUGCGGUAGGAAGACUGUUAAGGUGCAUCUCUUAUUUUCUAGGUGGGGCAGCUGCAGCUCUCCCACAAUCUGAGUUUGGUGAUCCUGGUACCCCAGAACCUGAAACAUCGUCUUGAAGACAUGGAACAGGCUCUCAGCCCUUCUGUUUUCAAGGCCAUCAUGAAGAAACUGGAGAUGUCCAAGUUCCAGCCCACUCUCCUAACACUACCCCGCAUCAAAGUGACGACCAGCCAGGAUAUGCUGUCAAUCAUGGAGAAAUUGGAAUUCUUCGAUUUUUCUUAUGACCUUAACCUGUGUGGGCUGACAGAGGACCCAGAUCUUCAGGUUUCUGCGAUGCAGCACCAGACAGUGCUGGAACUGACAGAGACUGGGGUGGAGGCGGCUGCAGCCUCCGCCAUCUCUGUGGCCCGCACCCUGCUGAUCUUUGAAGUGCAGCAGCCCUUCCUCUUCGUGCUCUGGGACCA
Molecule: small RNA, 908 nt
Filed under: Pan troglodytes (chimpanzee)
Lineage: Eukaryota; Metazoa; Chordata; Mammalia; Primates; Hominidae
Description: retained intron
Source: RNAcentral